UGACUUUGACAGAGAAACUGCGAAUGGCUCAUUACAACAGUCAUAAUUUCUUUGAUCGUUCCUUACUACAUGGAUAACCGGUGGUAAUUCUAGAGCUAAUACAUGCAAAAAGCUCCGACUUCAGGAAGGGGUGUAUUUAUUAGAUAAAAAACCAAUGCAGGCAACUGCUUUCCUUGGUGAAUCAUGGAUAACUGCUCGAAUUGUAUGGCUUUACGCCGACAUGGUUCAUUCAAAUCUCUGACCUAUCAACUUUCGAUGGUAGGAUAGUGGCCUACCAUGGUGACAACGGGGUAACGGGGAAU
Molecule: ribosomal RNA, 302 nt
Filed under: uncultured fungus
Lineage: Eukaryota; Fungi
Description: bacterial SSU rRNA
Rfam family: Eukaryotic small subunit ribosomal RNA
Source: RNAcentral